RNAcentral lists this ribosomal RNA (279 nucleotides) under uncultured bacterium. RNAcentral's name for it is "partial 16S ribosomal RNA". It matches the Rfam family "Bacterial small subunit ribosomal RNA", at positions 506 to 784 of the family's 1533-position model. The record is from RNAcentral.
UGCCAGCCGCCGCGGUAAUACGGAGGGUGCAAGCGUCGUUCGGAAUUACUGGGCGUAAAGCGCGCGUAGGCGGCUAUUUAAGUCAGAUGUGAAAGUCCACGGCUCAACCGUGGAAGUGCAUUUGAAACUGGAUGGCUUGAGUACUGGAGGGGGUGGUGGAGUUCCCGGUGUAGAGGUGAAAUUCGUAGAUAUCAGGAGGAACACCGGAGGCGAAGGCGGCUUUCUGGACCGAUACUGACGCUGAGGUGCGAAGGCGUGGGUAGCGAACAGGAUUAGAUA